UAGCUCUUUAUGACCAAGAGCUGAUCAGUACAAAAGACAGCACAUAAUCAAACAAAAGAAUGGUUCACCUCUACUGUCUCCUCUUUCACCUCGUCCUGCUCCGUGUUCAGCUGUCACAGCAGCAAUCCUCAGGUGGCCGAGCGGAGCGCGCGCACACACACACACACACACACACACACACACACACACACACACACACACACACACAGCCCCACUUUAUUCCCCUCACAGGAGUGACGGCGCGGCGGCGGCGGCGUUCGCCACACAUCAGUGAGCACGCCGGGAGGAAGGCAGAAGGCAGACGAGCGGAGCCCUGGGAUGCAUCCUGCCGAAUGUCAGGCCGAUAAUGUCAGGCCGAUAACGGGCGGAAAUAUUUUGCCGUUUGGCAGCAACAUGCGGCGUAGCCAUCAGCGUGUAUUUUAUGACGUGGGACGGGCCAGAUAGAGAGACAAUGCAGAGGUAUGAGAGAUGAGGGAGAGAGGAAGAGGAAGAGGUAUGAGAGAUGAAGGAGAGAGGAAGAGGUAUGAGAGAUGAACGAGAGAGGAAGAGAUGUGAGAGAUGAACGAGUGAGGAAGAGGUAUGAGAGAUGAACGAGAGAGGAAGAGAAAAUCCUCUAAGAGAAGUGUGAGGUACUGGAGGGGGAUAGGGAGUCAAAAGAGAACAAAACGAAUUAUUGAUUAUAAAGAGGGUUGGGAGGAUUUGCUUCUAGUCCCGGCUGAGUUUGGAGUCUCGCUUUUAACUUCAAGAUAGAUGCUGUUGCUGUGGUCUCGCUUUUACUUG
Clupea harengus (Atlantic herring) is the source of this 780-nucleotide long non-coding RNA. Lineage: Eukaryota; Metazoa; Chordata; Actinopteri; Clupeiformes; Clupeidae. The record is from Ensembl.